CAAGCAGAUCGGGUGGUCGCGGGCGCGCGGCCUGUGAGGCGCGACGCGCCUGAGGAAAGUCCGAACUCCACAGGGCAGGGUGCUGGGUAAUCCCCAGUGGGGGCGACCCUAAGGAAAGUGCAACAGAGAUUAGACCGCUUCCGUGCCCAGGAGGCAUGAGCUUCCGGCGGCGCGCAAGCAAGGGUGAAACGGUGCGGUAAGAGCGCACCAGCGGCCGGGCGACCGGUCGGCUAGGCAAACCCCACCCGGAGCAAGACCAAAUAGGAGGGAUAUAAGGUGGCCCGCCUUCCCCUCGGGUACGGUCGCACGAGGCUCGGGGCGACCCGAGUCCAAGACAGAUGACCACCCUCGACAGAAUUCGGCUUACAGAUCUGGUUGCUUG
RNAcentral lists this RNase P RNA (382 nucleotides) under Bacillota bacterium. Its description in RNAcentral is "Firmicutes bacterium (anaerobic digester metagenome) RNase P RNA component class A". It matches the Rfam family "Bacterial RNase P class A". Rfam says of the family: Ribonuclease P (RNase P) is a ubiquitous endoribonuclease, found in archaea, bacteria and eukarya as well as chloroplasts and mitochondria. Lineage: Bacteria; Bacillati; Bacillota. The record is from RNAcentral.